GACGAACGCUGGCGGCGUGCUUAACACAUGCAAGUCGAACGGAAAGGCCCUGCUUUUGUGGGGUGCUCGAGUGGCGAACGGGUGAGUAACACGUGAGUAACCUGCCCUUGACUUUGGGAUAACUUCAGGAAACUGGGGCUAAUACCGGAUAGGAGCCCCUGCUGCAUGGUGGGGGUUGGAAAGUUUCGGCGGUUGGGGAUGGACUCGCGGCUUAUCAGCUUGUUGGUGGGGUAGUGGCUUACCAAGGCUUUGACGGGUAGCCGGCCUGAGAGGGUGACCGGCCACAUUGGGACUGAGAUACGGCCCAGACUCCUACGGGAGGCAGCAGUGGGGAAUAUUGCACAAUGGGCGGAAGCCUGAUGCAGCAACGUCGCGUGCGGGAUGACGGCCUUCGGGUUGUAAACCGCUUUCGCCUGUGACGAAGCGUGAGUGACGGUAAUGGGUAAAGAAGCACCGGCUAACUACGUG
Molecule: ribosomal RNA, 468 nt
Filed under: uncultured bacterium
Lineage: Bacteria
Description: partial 16S ribosomal RNA
Rfam family: Bacterial small subunit ribosomal RNA
Source: RNAcentral